This 513-nucleotide non-coding RNA is filed under the name Leucophanes glaucum. Its description in RNAcentral is "partial contains tRNA-Leu, trnL-trnF intergenic spacer, and tRNA-Phe". The stretch from base 59 to 181 matches the Rfam family "Group I catalytic intron", at positions 49 to 158 of the family's 253-position model. Lineage: Eukaryota; Viridiplantae; Streptophyta; Bryopsida; Dicranales; Calymperaceae. The record is from RNAcentral.
CGGUAGACGCUACGGACUUAAAGAAUUUGAGCUUUAGUAAAAAAACUUAUUAAAUGUUAGCUUUCAAAUUCAGGAAAACUUAGGUUGAAAAAAAAUAUAAGUAAUCCUGAGCCAAAUAUUUUAUUUUUUACAAAUAAAAAUAUUAAAAAUAGAAAAUAGGUGCAGAGACUCGAUGGAAGCUAUCCAAAUGCAAAAAACUUUAACAUUAUUUAAUUAAAAUUUCUAUGUUAAUGGAAAUAAAAAAAUUUAACUAAAUUAUUAUUUAGUUAAAUAAUAAGUGAGGAUAAAGGUAGAGUCCAAAUUUAUAUGUUAAUUUUUUUUAGCAAUAAUGCAAAUUGUAGUAAAAAGAAAAUCCGUUGGUUUUAUUGACCAUGAGGGUUCAAGUCCCUCUACCCCCAAAACUAUGAAUUUUUUAUUUAUUGACAUAAAUAUUUAAGUUAUGUUAAGAUAGUCCAAAUAAAAAGCCGGAAUAGCUCAGUUGGUAGAGCAGAGGACUGAAAAUCCUCGUGUCAC